GGCAUUGUGGUUCAGGGUAGUGGUAGAAUUCUCGCCUCGCCACGCGGGAGGCCCCGGGGUUCGAUUCCCGGCCAAUGCAGCA
This is a non-coding RNA of Merluccius polli (Benguela hake), 82 nucleotides long. NCBI's taxonomy places the organism in Eukaryota, Metazoa, Chordata, Actinopteri, Gadiformes, Merlucciidae. The record is from the annotation of a GenBank genome assembly.